GGAGGAGUGGCCGAGCGGCUGAAGGCAGCGGUCUUGAAAACCGCCGAUGGGCAACUAUCCGUGAGUUCGAAUCUCACCUCCUCCGCCA
Molecule: transfer RNA, 88 nt
Filed under: Gammaproteobacteria bacterium
Lineage: Bacteria; Pseudomonadati; Pseudomonadota; Gammaproteobacteria
Also listed under: 2 other names
Description: tRNA-Ser
Rfam family: tRNA
About the family: Transfer RNA (tRNA) molecules are approximately 80 nucleotides in length. Their secondary structure includes four short double-helical elements and three loops (D, anti-codon, and T loops).
Source: RNAcentral